This 440-nucleotide ribosomal RNA is filed under the name uncultured bacterium. RNAcentral describes it as "partial 16S ribosomal RNA". It matches the Rfam family "Bacterial small subunit ribosomal RNA", at positions 338 to 795 of the family's 1533-position model. The record is from RNAcentral.
CCUACGGGAGGCAGCAGUGGGGAAUAUUGCACAAUGGGGGAAACCCUGAUGCAGCGACGCCGCGUGAGUGAAGAAGUAAUUCGUUACGUAAAGCUCUAUCAGCAGGGAAGAAAAUGACGGUACCUGUGUAAGAAGCCCCGGCUAACUACGGGCCAGCAGCCGCGGUGAGACGUAGGGGGCAAGCGUUAUCCGGAUGUACUGGGUGCAAAGGGAGCGUAGACGGGGCGCCAAGUCUGGAGUGAAAUGCCGCAGCUCAACUGCGGAACUGCUUUGGAAACUGGCGGACUAGAGUGCGGGAGGGGUAAGCGGAAUUCCUAGUGUAGCGGUGAAAGGCGUAGAUAUUGGGAGGAACACCGGUGGCGAAGGCGGCGUACUGGACCGAAACUGACGUUGAGGCUCGAAAGCGUGGGGAGCAAACAGGAUUAGAGACCCCUGUAGUC